GACGAACGCUGGCGGCGUGCUUAACACAUGCAAGUCGAACGGAGAUAGCGGAAGAUUUAUCAGAAGCUAUUUUAGUGGCGGACGGGUGAGUAACACGUGGGUAACCUGCCCUAUGGAGGGGAUAACACAGAGAAAUCUGUGCUAAUACCGCAUAACAUAACGAAGUCGCAUGGCUUUGUUAUCAAAGAUUUAUUGCCAUAGGAUGGACCCGCGGCCCAUUAGCUAGUUGGUGAGGUAACGGCUCACCAAGGCGACGAUGGGUACGCCGAUCUGAGAGGAUGAACGGCCACAUUGGAACUGAGACACGGUCCAGACUCCUACGGGUGGCUG
Molecule: ribosomal RNA, 330 nt
Filed under: uncultured Bacillota bacterium
Lineage: Bacteria; Bacillati; Bacillota
Description: bacterial SSU rRNA
Rfam family: Bacterial small subunit ribosomal RNA
Source: RNAcentral